CACGUAGGGGGCGAGCGUUGUCCGGAAUUACUGGGCGUAAAGGGCGCGCAGGCUGUUAUGCGAGUCUGCUGUGAAAUGUACCGGCUCAACCGGUGCCUUGCGGCGGAUACUGCAUAGCUGGAGUACUGGAGAGGGAAGUGGAAUUCCCAGUGUAGCGGUGAAAUGCGUAGAGAUUGGGAGGAACACCAGUGGCGAAGGCGGCUUUCUGGACGAUAACUGACGCUGAGGCGCGAAAGCGUGGGUAGCAAACAGGAUUAGA
This 259-nucleotide ribosomal RNA is filed under the name uncultured prokaryote. RNAcentral's name for it is "partial 16S ribosomal RNA". It matches the Rfam family "Bacterial small subunit ribosomal RNA", at positions 524 to 782 of the family's 1533-position model. The record is from RNAcentral.